Molecule: long non-coding RNA, 206 nt
Filed under: Elaeis guineensis (African oil palm)
Lineage: Eukaryota; Viridiplantae; Streptophyta; Magnoliopsida; Arecales; Arecaceae
Description: long non-coding RNA (EGUI_LNC015631)
Source: RNAcentral
ACCUGGCAGUACUCCAUCUCUUUCCUCAUAAAUCUCUCCGCCUCUGUCGCUUUCUUCUAAAUUUUAGGUGGCGCUCCGAUCUCCGUCGCAUUGCCGGUGACCAAUGCCACCACCUUCGCCACCACCGUCGUCUCCGCCUUGAUCCUCGAAGAGGAGAUGCUAGCCGGGCCUGCACCUCUUUGGUACCGCUCUUAUCGUUCUGGGUG